GACAGAGGGUGCAAACGUUGUUCGGAAUUACUGGGCAUAAAGCGCACGUAGGUGGUCCGCUAAGUCGCGUGUGAAAUCCCCCGGCUCAACCGGGGAAAUGCGCGUGAUACUGGCGGGCCUGAGAUCGGGAGGGGUGAAUGGAACUCCAGGUGGAGCGGUGAAAUGCGUAGAUAUCUGGAGGAACACCGGUGGCGAAAGCGGUUCACUGGCCCGACACUGACACUGAGGUGCGAAAGCGUGGGGAGCGAACAGG
RNAcentral lists this ribosomal RNA (253 nucleotides) under uncultured bacterium. Its description in RNAcentral is "partial 16S ribosomal RNA". It matches the Rfam family "Bacterial small subunit ribosomal RNA", at positions 524 to 776 of the family's 1533-position model. The record is from RNAcentral.